UACGUAGGGUGCAAGCGUUGUCCGGAAUUAUUGGGCGUAAAGAGCUCGUAGGCGGCCCUCUCAGUCGGAUGUGAAAUCCCCAGGCUCAACUUGGGAACGGCAUCCGAUACUGGAGGGCUUGAAUUCGGGAGAGGGAUGCAGAAUUCCAGGUGUAGCGGUGAAAUGCGUAGAUAUCUGGAGGAAUACCGGUGGCGAAGGCGGCAUCCUGGACCGAGAUUGACGCUGAGGAGCGAAAGCUAGGGGAGCAAACGGG
RNAcentral lists this ribosomal RNA (253 nucleotides) under uncultured bacterium. RNAcentral's name for it is "partial 16S ribosomal RNA". It matches the Rfam family "Bacterial small subunit ribosomal RNA", at positions 524 to 776 of the family's 1533-position model. The record is from RNAcentral.